GCCGGAGGAGGCAAGCGUUAUCCGGAAUUAUUGGGCGUAAAGGGUACGUAGGCGGCUGGUCAAGUCUGGGGUCAAAGGCCACAGCUCAACUGUGGGAAGGCCCUGGAAACUGACCGGCUAGAGUGAGGUAGGGGUUGCGGGAAUUCCCGGUGUAGCGGUGAAAUGCGUAGAGAUCGGGAAGAACACCUGAGGCGGAAGCGCGCAACUGGGCCUCAACUGACGCUGAGGUACGAAAGCUAUGGAGAGAAUGGG
RNAcentral lists this ribosomal RNA (252 nucleotides) under uncultured bacterium. RNAcentral's name for it is "partial 16S ribosomal RNA". It matches the Rfam family "Bacterial small subunit ribosomal RNA", at positions 524 to 776 of the family's 1533-position model. The record is from RNAcentral.